Molecule: ribosomal RNA, 397 nt
Filed under: uncultured Prostomatea
Lineage: Eukaryota; Ciliophora; Prostomatea
Description: partial small subunit ribosomal RNA
Rfam family: Eukaryotic small subunit ribosomal RNA
Source: RNAcentral
GCUUGUCUCAAAGAUUAAGCCAUGCAUGUCUAAGUACAAGCCUCAGUAAGGUGAAACCGCGAAUGGCUCAUUAAAACAGUUAUAGUUUAUUUGAUAAUUGAAUUAUACAUGGAUAACCGUGGUAAUUCUAGAGCUAAUACAUGCAGUAAAACCUGACUUUUUGGAAAGGUUGUAUUUAUUAGAUAUCAAACCAAUAUUCCUUCGGGUCUAUUGUGAUGAUUCAUAAUAACUGAUCGAAGCUUAGCUAGGCUAAGCUAAAUCAUUCAAGUUUCUGCCCUAUCAGCUUUCGAUGGUAGUGUAUUGGACUACCAUGGCAGUCACGGGUAACGGGGAAUUAGGGUUCGAUUCCGGAGAGGGAGCCUGAGAAACGGCUACCACAUCUAAGGAAGGCAGCAGG